GGAGAACUGUCUGGAGCCAGCGAGGCCGGAGGAGGAAGAGCAGGAGGAAGGAGGGGAAGCCGCCGCUGCCGCCGCCGCCGCGCUCCGGGGACCUGGGCGCGCGCGCUCCGCUCGCCCGUGACCGUGCCUCUAGCCCCAGGCCCACAUUCCUGCCCAGUGGAAGUGCCUUGGUGACCCGUGUCCUGCCCUCUGCCUGGACGCACCCUCUUCCUCUGGGCCCUGAGA
RNAcentral lists this long non-coding RNA (225 nucleotides) under Sus scrofa (pig). Its description in RNAcentral is "lncRNA (ENSSSCG00070009801.1)". Lineage: Eukaryota; Metazoa; Chordata; Mammalia; Artiodactyla; Suidae. The record is from RNAcentral.